CCUACGGGGGGCUGCAGUGGGGAAUAUUGGACAAUGGGGGCAACCCUGAUCCAGCCAUGCCGCGUGUGUGAAGAAGGCCCUCGGGUUGUAAAGCACUUUCAGUGAGGAAGAACGCCUGGUGGUUAAUACCCAUCAGGAAAGACAUCACUCACAGAAGAAGCACCGGCUAACUCCGUGCCAGCAGCCGCGGUAAUACGGAGGGUGCGAGCGUUAAUCGGAAUUACUGGGCGUAAAGCGCGCGUAGGUGGCUUGAUAAGCCGGUUGUGAAAGCCCCGGGCUCAACCUGGGAACGGCAUCCGGAACUGUCAAGCUAGAGUGCAGGAGAGGAAGGUAGAAUUGCCGGUGUAGCGGUGAAAUGCGUAGAGAUCGGGAGGAAUACCAGUGGCGAAGGCGGCCUUCUGGACUGACACUGACACUGAGGUGCGAAAGCGUGGGUAGCAAACAGGAUUAGAUACCCGUGUAGUC
RNAcentral lists this ribosomal RNA (465 nucleotides) under Vreelandella stevensii. RNAcentral describes it as "partial 16S ribosomal RNA". It matches the Rfam family "Bacterial small subunit ribosomal RNA", at positions 338 to 795 of the family's 1533-position model. The record is from RNAcentral. Lineage: Bacteria; Pseudomonadati; Pseudomonadota; Gammaproteobacteria; Oceanospirillales; Halomonadaceae.